Molecule: long non-coding RNA, 2783 nt
Filed under: Pan troglodytes (chimpanzee)
Lineage: Eukaryota; Metazoa; Chordata; Mammalia; Primates; Hominidae
Description: long non-coding RNA NONPTRT008408
Source: RNAcentral
GGCCUGUUGUCCCCAGACGCCCAGAGACAGGCACACACAGGAUGAACUGCGUCCACCUGCUGAGGGUGAGGGGCUCCUGAUGCGCUAUCCUGGGCACCUGGAGGCAGACUGGGGUCAGGGACCAGAGAGCUCCAUAUGCUCAGCCUCCCAGAUCGCUCAGGGACCACCAAGAGGCCCACUUUCCUACAGGGAACAAGACACCUUGUGACUGCUCCAUUUCACCCCCAUCUCCACUCCUUCUGGCCAGAGAAGCCGCGUCAAGAAUAAUACCAGCCAAAUGGGAGAGUGCUUGGUUUGGGCCAAAGCAGCCUCUGUGCUCACGGAGAUGUCUCAGGUGGAGGGAUGGUGGAUCCCACAAUUCUGAGCUGUCAAUACAGGAAGGGGCCUCGUGUUUCCGGAUCACCAAGAAAGAAUGAGAGAACUCUGGGGACUUGGUUCUGGAGAACCCCAGAGGGACCCCUCCCAUGAACAGUCAGGGCAAAGAAAGGGCGAGGCCUCUAGGGGACCAGGCAGAGAAAGGGCCACGUGGGGAAAAGCCCCAGACCUGGCGAACAGGAGGAAUGAUCGUUACCUUCUGGCCAGCCCUCUGGACCUCCGUCAUUUUCCACAACUGCCCAAGGAUAGAGGGCUCCCCACCCCACUCCCAGACGAGGGACCCCGUAUGUCCAGUGGGUUCCACAGCGACCCCCACUGACUGCACCCGAAGUCUGGGUUGAUGAGAUCUCCCCCUGUGGGGACCCACCUUAGAGCACAGACUUGGACGGAGGACCACCCUCCACCCCACCCACAGGGGCUACAUCCUGGGGGCUCUUCUAGGGCAAGGCUCAGCUCCACUGGGGUCAGAAGCCCCAGGCAGAUGUGCAAUCCAGAACACGGAGGUCACAGAGGUCAAGGCUUGAGUUCAGCAUGGCACAGGCCAGGGCUGACAGCAUGCCCCAGGGCCACGUCUGGGUCUCUGGGCCAGUUACUGCCCCUCUGACCUGAGGCGUCUCACCUAUUCAGUGGGUACAUUUGAGGAUAGCACCCCUCCACCCCGCCGUGGAGUCGCCGUGAGGAUGAAGGAGACGACUGUUUGCAUGGUCAGCAUAGAACGGGCACCUGGUGAGUGCUCAUGGAUGACCCUCCUCGGGUAGCUGCCACCCACCUGGUUGUGACUGUCCCCAGGUCAGCAGGGGGGAAGAGAGCAGGUCACGCUUUCCUGAGUCUGAUCAGGCAGCGGUGCUGAGAUGUGCUUCUCACCCAGAAAAGGGUCCUAUCUGCACAACCACUUACAGCACCUCUGUGUCUCCAACUGCUCCAUGACACAGAGGUAGGCUGGCGGCACUUGGCACAACGACAGCAUGGGUUCACAGCUCCUAUCACGACGGGGCCCUACCUGGCUCAGCAGGGCCCAGGGUCAGCAUCCUCUGCCCGCUUAAUGGUCAACAUGUAUGCGUGCAAUUUGUCUGUGUAUGUGAGGAUGCAUGUGUGUGGGUGAACACGUCUCUCCUCCAGCUGGGCCUGGCUGCUCCACUCAGGUGUGCACCUGGAUCCCUGUCACUGUCACCCCCGGGCCUGUGGCCAGCAUCAGAGCACCCAUAGGUGCUCCCCAGCCUCUGCUCUUUCCAUGCUGGGUGGUCCUGGGGAUGCAGAUGGGGCAGGGACAUAGGGCAGAGGGCAGAGGGCAGAAGCCAGGCUUCCCCCUUGGGGUGACUCGCGUAGUGUGUAAAGUGCCAGGUCUGUGUGGCAGGGCUGGAUUCAAUGCAAUGCACCCUCUCACCUCCUCCUCCCAGAAGCCCACUGGGGUGCUGUGACUCACCCCCCCACCCCAUGGAUGGAGGCAAUCACGGAGGCUUCGAGGACAAACCCGUGGCCUGAGAUCACCAAGGAUCCCACUGGCCAGGCCUCCAGUGGUUAAGCCCCCACUGAACAGGUCCUAGCUGACCACCCCCACAAUGACCAGGUCCCACUGACCAGAUGUGGACUGACCAGGUCCUGCUGACUGGGCCCCACAGACCAGGCCCUGGCUCACCAGACACCACUGACAAAGGCCACAAUAACAAGGCUGCAACUGACAAGGCCCUCACGGCCCUCACUGACUAGGCCUCAACUGAUGGACCCCACCAAAUAGAUCUCACUAAUCAGACCCCCGCUGACCAGGCCCUAACAACUGCUGGACCCCUGCUGGCCAGGCCCCAAAUGCCGAACCCCACUCACCAGGCCCCAAAUGCUGAACCCCACUGAUCAGGCCCCAAAAGCUGAACCCCACUCACUGGGCCCCAAAUGCUGGAUCCCUGCUGACAGGCCCCAACUAUGGGAUCCCCACCAACCAGGCCCCAACUGCCAGACCCCUGCCAACCAGGCCCUGGAUGCUGGACUCCACUGACCAUGUCCCAACUACUGGACCCCCACUGACCAGGCCCUAACAACUGCUGGACUGCACUGAUCAAGCCCAAACUGCCAGACCCCACUGACUGGGCCCCAACUCCUAGACCCCUCCUGACUGAGCCCCAACUGCCAGACUCUUGCCAACCAGGCGUCUUCUUAUGAGACCCCUGCUGACCAGACCCCCACUGCUGGAUCCCCGCUGUCUAGGCCCCAACUGCUGGGCCCCCGCUUACCAGGCCCCCACAUCCACACCUCACUGACUAGGCCUCACUGCUCUGAUCCCCGCCGAUCAGGCCCCAAAUGCCGGGCCCAGAUGACCAGGCCUCAACUGCUGGACGCCCACCAACCAGGCCUCAGCUUCUGGACCCCUGUUGACCAGGCCCCAACUGCCAGACCCCAAUGACCAGUCCCCAACU